UGAUGAUGAUGUGGACAAUCCCUAAGAAGAGACUUGAAUCUCCCCCAAGCAUGAUAAAGGUUCUCAUCUAGCUUCUGUUUGAAGCUUAAAACCUCACUACAUAAUUU
This is a small nucleolar RNA of Capsicum annuum, 107 nucleotides long. The record is from RefSeq and is a predicted model, not a curated record. NCBI's taxonomy places the organism in Eukaryota, Viridiplantae, Streptophyta, Magnoliopsida, Solanales, Solanaceae.